Molecule: ribosomal RNA, 460 nt
Filed under: uncultured bacterium
Lineage: Bacteria
Description: partial 16S ribosomal RNA
Rfam family: Bacterial small subunit ribosomal RNA
Source: RNAcentral
CCUACGGGAGGCUGCAGUGAGGAAUAUUGGUCAAUGGGCGGGAGCCUGAACCAGCCAAGUCGCGUGAGGGAAGACGGUCCUAUGGAUUGUAAACCUCUUUAGGCGGGGAGCAAUGCCGGGCACGCGUGCCCGGAGGGAGAGUACCCGCAGCAUACGCAUCGGCUAACUCCGUGCCAGCAGCCGCGGUAAUACGGAGGAUGCGAGCGUUAUCCGUAUUUAGUGGGUUUAAUGGAUGCGUAGGCGGAUUUUUAAGUCAGCGGUAAAAUGUCCGGGCUCAACCCGGGCCGGCCGUUGAAACUGGGGAUCUUGAGUGGGCGAGAAGUAUGCGGAAUGCGUGGUGUAGCGGUGAAAUGCAUAGAUAUCACGCAGAACUCCGAUUGCGAAGGCAGGAUACCGGCGCCCGACUGACGCUGAGGCACGAAAGCGUGGGGAUCGAACAGGAUUAGAUACCCCGGUAGUC